UCCAGACUCCUACGGGAGGCAGCAGUGGGGGAUAUUGCACAAUGGGGGGAACCCUGAUGCAGCGACGCCGCGUGGGUGAAGGAGCGUUUCGGCGCGUAAAGCCCUAUCGGCAGGGAAGAAGGAGGACGGUACCUGACUAAGAAGCCCCGGCUAACUACGUGCCAGCAGCCGCGGUAAUACGUAGGGGGCAAGCGUUAUCCGGAUUUACUGGGUGUAAAGGGGGCGCAGACGGCAGCGCAAGCCAGGAGUGAAAGCCCGGGGCCCAACCCCGGGACUGCUCUUGGAACUGCGCGGCUGGAGUGCAGGAGGGGCAGGCGGAAUUCCUGGUGUAGCGGUGAAAUGCGUAGAUAUCAGGAGGAACACCGGUGGCGAAGGCGGCCUGCUGGACUGCGACUGACGUUGAGGCCCGAAAGCGUGGGGAGCAAACAGGAUUAGAUACCCCUGUAAA
This 448-nucleotide ribosomal RNA is filed under the name uncultured bacterium. RNAcentral describes it as "bacterial SSU rRNA". It matches the Rfam family "Bacterial small subunit ribosomal RNA", at positions 330 to 793 of the family's 1533-position model. The record is from RNAcentral.